This 132-nucleotide non-coding RNA is filed under the name Streptomyces sp. Lineage: Bacteria; Bacillati; Actinomycetota; Actinomycetes; Kitasatosporales; Streptomycetaceae. The record is from RNAcentral.
GGGGCGUGAUGCACUGCCGGGGCCAUUUCGGCGGCUGUGGAGGAAGUACCGGUGCGAAUCCGGCGCGGUCCCGCCACUGUGAGCGGGGAGUGAUCCCCGUGAGUCAGGAACUCCCGGCGCCGAAUCACGUCG